UAGGGAAUAUUGGUAAUGUGCGAAAGCGCGAACCAGCAACGCCGCGUGCACGAUGAAGGCCUUCGGGUUGUAAAGUGCUUUUAGAGAGGAUGAGGAAGGACAGUACUUUCUGAAUAAGCCUCGGCUAACUACGUGCCAGCAGCCGCGGUAAAACGUAGGAGGCUAGCGUUAUCCGGAUUUACUGGGCGUAAAGCGCGUGCAGGUGGUUUCGUAAGUUGGAUGUGAAAGCUCCUGGCUUAACUGGGAGAGGUCGUUCAAAACUGCGAGGCUUGAGAGUGGUAGAGGGAGGUGGAAUUCCGGGUGUAGUGGUGAAAUGCGUAGAUAUCCGGAGGAACACCAGUGGCGAAAGCGGCCUCCUGGACCAUUUCUGACACUCAGACGCGAAAGUUAAGGUAGCAAACG
Molecule: ribosomal RNA, 402 nt
Filed under: uncultured bacterium
Lineage: Bacteria
Description: bacterial SSU rRNA
Rfam family: Bacterial small subunit ribosomal RNA
Source: RNAcentral